This 575-nucleotide ribosomal RNA is filed under the name uncultured bacterium. RNAcentral's name for it is "bacterial SSU rRNA". It matches the Rfam family "Bacterial small subunit ribosomal RNA", at positions 104 to 653 of the family's 1533-position model. The record is from RNAcentral.
GGRUGAGUAACACGUGGAUAACCUGCCCCAGAAGAUCUGGGAUAACGUGCCGAAAGGUGCGCUAAUACCGGAUACCUUUGUGCCUCACAAGAGGUAUMAAGAAAGGAGGCCUCUGCUUGCAAGCUUUCKCUUUGGGAUGGGUCCGCGGCCUAUCAKGUGAGUUGGUAGGGUAACGGCCUACCAMSCCUACGACGGGUAGCUGGUCUGAGAGGACGAUCAGCCACAUUGGGACUGASACACGGCCCAGACUCCUACGGGAGGCMGCAGUGGGGAAUAUUGGGCAAUGGGAGAAAUCCUGACCCAGCAACGCCGCGUGGAGGAUGAAGGCCUUCKGGUUGUAAACUCCUGUCAGCAGGGAAAAAGAUUGCAAAAGCUAAUACCUUUUGCAGUUUGAUGGUACCUGCUAAGGAAGCACCGGCUAACUACGUGCCASCAGCCGCGGUAAUACGUAMGGUGCAAGCGUUAUUCGGAAUCACUGGGCGUAAAGGGCGCGCAGGCGGUUUUGUAAGUCUAAAGUGAAAUCCUUGGGCUUAACCCAGGGGCUGCUUUAGAUACUGCAAAACUCGAGUUCGGGA